Molecule: long non-coding RNA, 203 nt
Filed under: Gossypium barbadense (sea-island cotton)
Lineage: Eukaryota; Viridiplantae; Streptophyta; Magnoliopsida; Malvales; Malvaceae
Description: long non-coding RNA (GBAR_LNC008122)
Source: RNAcentral
GGUAAUAACAUCAGGCGAAGAAGCAUCCUCGCGGGCACGUAUAGCAUAAGCUCUAGCAGGUGCACGAGCCUCGGAUCUGGUCGUAGCAUCUCUAGAUCCUCUCUGACCACCACCAGCAUUGCCCAUAUUUCCAGAUGGUCUACCUCGAGCAGUGGUAGCACCCGGUUUCCCACUCUGAUUUACAUUCUGUUUAGACAACCUCG